UCUACCAAAGGAUAAUAGUAU
Molecule: transfer RNA, 21 nt
Filed under: Natrix natrix (European grass snake)
Lineage: Eukaryota; Metazoa; Chordata; Lepidosauria; Squamata; Natricidae
Also listed under: 1 other name
Description: partial transfer RNA-Leu
Source: RNAcentral